CCUGAUUGUGUGGGGCCUGCCUCUCGAGAUGGUGUCCUGGAAAAUCAGAUUUCUGAGUUUGCAUCUCUUGCAAACUAUGAAAAUGGAUCUAAAAAUGAUGAAACUAUAGUUGAUCACAGAGUCUCAUUCGAGUUGAGUGGUGAAGAGGUUGCACGUUGUCUUGAAAGCAAGUCAAUGCAAUCAUGUAGUACUUUCGUAGAAUGCUCACCGGAGGACCGCGUAAAAAGUGGGAAGAUGCUAAUGAAUAGUGAAAAUUGUUUACAUAUCAAGGAAACUUCCAAUGAAUUACCUGAGAAACCUUCAGGAGAAAUGGAAGAGGAACACUACCAUAGAAAACAUCGUUCUAUCACACUGGGGUCAAUCAAAGAGUUCAACUUUGAUAAUUCAAAAGAAGUACCUGAUAAGCCCACAAUCAGCUCUGAGUGGUGGGCAAAUGAAACAAUUGCUGGGAAGGAAGCUAGGCCUGUCAACAACUGGACUUUCUUCCCAUUGUUACAGCCAGAGGUCAGCUGAAAUUGAAAUAGAUUGCUUUACAAAAUUCCCUCCCCUCUAUGCAGGUUUGCUUUACUGAAUGUCUAACCUGUAAGAUGAAGGCAACUGUGUUUUGGCGAUACAGUUCACCGGGUCUGGGAUCACAUGAGGAUGCGGAAUAGAUUGCAUGGAUAUAAGGAAAUUAAUCUGCUGCGAUCCGAUCCACAAGUAUCCAGAAAGUAGUUUGUAGGGAGCAUUAGUUUGAGAACUAAUAGAGCAUUCUUUUUAAUUUUUUUGUUUCUAGUUGAACGAUAUACAAAAAUAGCAUUUGCAUAUAGUGUUGUGUU
This 818-nucleotide unclassified non-coding RNA is filed under the name Hevea brasiliensis (rubber tree). Lineage: Eukaryota; Viridiplantae; Streptophyta; Magnoliopsida; Malpighiales; Euphorbiaceae. The record is from RNAcentral.